Molecule: small RNA, 557 nt
Filed under: Pan troglodytes (chimpanzee)
Lineage: Eukaryota; Metazoa; Chordata; Mammalia; Primates; Hominidae
Description: processed transcript
Source: RNAcentral
GCGGGUUCGCAGGGUGCGGGGCGCACGGCGGCGCCGAGCGUGCGGCCGGAGAAGCGGCGGUCGGAGCCCGAACUGGAGCCUGAGCCCGAGCCGGAGCCCCCCCUCCUCUGCACCUCUCCUCUCAGCCACAGCACCGGCAGCGAUUCUGGCGUCUCCGACAGCGAGGAGAGUGUGUUCUCAGGCCUGGAAGAUUCCGGCAGUGACGGCAGUGAGGAUGAUGACGAAGGCGACGAGGAGGGAGAGGCCGGAGCCCUUGAUGACGAGGGCCACAGUGGGAUGGAAAAGACCACUGAGGAGCAGGUGCAGAAGUUUCUGUUUUUAUCAGUUUAAUCUGCUUGUCACAGUCAAGAAUGUGAGAAAAGACUGGGUGUGGUGAGCCAAACCUGUAAUCCCAGCACUUUGGGAGGCCGAGGUGGGCGGAUCACUUGAGGAGUUCGAGACCAGCCCGGCCAACAUGGUGAAACCUCAUGUGAAUUGCUUGAGCCUGGGAGGUGGAAGUUAGAGUAAGCUGAGAUCAUGCCACGGCCUCCAUCCUGGGUGACAGAGUGAGUGGGACU